ACGGUUAAAUCACGAUGAAAACACCAGUUCUCGUUUGAUCACCGAAGUCAAGCAUCGUAGAGCCAGGUCAGUACUUAGUU
Molecule: non-coding RNA, 80 nt
Organism: Acanthosepion pharaonis
Lineage: Eukaryota; Metazoa; Mollusca; Cephalopoda; Sepiida; Sepiidae
Source: the annotation of a GenBank genome assembly